CGCGUAGGUGGUUUGUUAAGUUGGAUGUGAAAGCCUCGGGCUCAACCUGGGAACUGCAUCCAAAACUGGCAAGCUAGAGUACGGUAGAGGGUGGUGGAAUUUCCUGUGUAGCGGUGAAAUGCGUAGAUAUAGGAAGGAACACCAGUGGCGAAGGCGACCACCUGGACUGAUACUGACACUGAGGUGCGAAAGCGUGGGGAGCAAACA
RNAcentral lists this ribosomal RNA (207 nucleotides) under uncultured bacterium. RNAcentral describes it as "partial 16S ribosomal RNA". It matches the Rfam family "Bacterial small subunit ribosomal RNA", at positions 568 to 774 of the family's 1533-position model. The record is from RNAcentral.